UCAACCUCAUUCAUCAUUUCACACUGUACGUCUAAAUAAUCAACAUUUACAAUUUUGCAAAUGCCAAUAUUACCCUCUUCUCAUGGAAAAAGACUCUACACCUUGUAAUCUAUGGAGGAUCUUUUUAAAGUAGAAAGUUAAACAGAAGCCGCCUCUCUGUUAGAAAAAAAACUCAAAAAGAAGAGAAAAAGAUCAAAACAUCCUUUCUUACCUCCAUCUUCUUCUUCUUCUCCUUCUUUUUCUCCUUCUUCUUCUCUUCCCUUCCCUCUCUUUGUCUCCAUACCUAGAGCAUCAUCGGGAUCUCUGUAAUAAUUCUCAUACACCCUUUCUCCAAACUGAAAGAAGUAAUGGUAAGGGUUUCAAAAGUCAUGAUCAUGGGAAACUCUUGAAUGAAAGUACUUCUUCAUUAGGGUAUUAUAUAGGCAAGAUGGAAUGUGUAAGAGAAUCAAGCAAUGAGAACCCAAACAAAGGAAUUUUUGACUUCCUUGUACCUUCUAAAACUAUCAAUUAUUUACAAAGGAUCAAUACAUAUCGGUUGAAACUUUGGUGGAAGGUAACCAAGCAACAAGCUGGGCUCCAACACCUAUCUGAAUAACAAUGCCUAAUCUGAAAGAGAGAACUAUUUCUUUUGCAAUUGACAUUAUUGCCUAGCAAGGCAGUUUCUCAACCGCUUAAGAAAAAAGAUAAUGUCCUCACCAAGUUCACCUAAAGUAGUGAAUGCCAAUACUUUGAAACCAUAGCCAUGUUCAGUGUGUUUGUCCAGAUAUUUGGUGUUCUUGCAAGUGACAGCACAGCAGCAUGGAUAGCAUGACUUGGAGUGAAAGUACA
Molecule: long non-coding RNA, 828 nt
Organism: Papaver somniferum (opium poppy)
Lineage: Eukaryota; Viridiplantae; Streptophyta; Magnoliopsida; Ranunculales; Papaveraceae
Exons: 3
Source: RefSeq, a predicted model, not a curated record